CCUACGGGAGGCUGCAGUGAGGAAUAUUGGUCAAUGGACGAGAGUCUGAACCAGCCAAGUAGCGUGAAGGAUGACUGCCCUAUGGGUUGUAAACUUCUUUUAUAUGGGAAUAAAAUGUUCCACGUGUGGGAUUUUGUAUGUACCAUAUGAAUAAGGAUCGGCUAACUCCGUGCCAGCAGCCGCGGUAAUACGGAGGAUCCGAGCGUUAUCCGGAUUUAUUGGGUUUAAAGGAAGCGUAGGUGGAUUGUUAAGUCAGUUGUGAAAUUUUGCGGCUCAACCGUAAAAGUGCAGUUGAAACUGGCAGUCUUGAGUACAGUAGAGGUGGGCGGAAUGCGUGGUGUAGCGGUGAAAUGCGUAGAUAUCACGAAGAACUCCGAUUGCGAAGGCAGCUCACUGGACUGCAACUGACACUGAGGCUCGAAAGUGUGGGUAUCAAACAGGAUUAGAUACCCCAGUAGUC
This 460-nucleotide ribosomal RNA is filed under the name uncultured bacterium. Its description in RNAcentral is "partial 16S ribosomal RNA". It matches the Rfam family "Bacterial small subunit ribosomal RNA", at positions 338 to 795 of the family's 1533-position model. The record is from RNAcentral.